RNAcentral lists this long non-coding RNA (1538 nucleotides) under Equus asinus (donkey). RNAcentral's name for it is "lncRNA (ENSEASG00005030362.1)". Lineage: Eukaryota; Metazoa; Chordata; Mammalia; Perissodactyla; Equidae. The record is from RNAcentral.
CAAGUUAUUACACCUGAAAACGUGGACCCUCAUUGUGUAACCAUGAGAAAGUGAUUUAAACUCUCAAGGUUAAUUCUCUUAGUGCCCCACCUGGAUCCUCUUUACAGGCAGUGCGCCCACCCCCUGGCUGCUGUUUGUGUUGCCUGAUGACAAUUCACAGCUGCCCCUACUCCUGAAAAUAGUCCUCAGCCAAAUAGAAGUCUCCUUGCCCAGGAGGCAACACCCGCUACUGCCCAGGGCAGAUCUCAGCCAAUGGCAGCAGACUUAAUGGGACAAAAAGCUGGCCCCCUUGCCUGAAGGUGGGCUUAGUUUUACGGUGAAACUCCAGCCUCUCUGUGGAAUCAAACUGAAACUAAUCUUUAGCAGUCUUGUUGCUCAGGAACAAAACUUUAAGACAGCUGGCAUCAGAGAUGGUCUCAGGAAGCUGACUCUGAGGACGGGAUUCUGGAGUUGGCUUGCUUGCUGGCUGGAUGGCAAUGAAGACCCCAUAGCUGAAGUUGCAGGUCCUUCUAGUUGUGGGAUAUGGGACGCCGCCUCAACGUGGCCUGAUGAGCAGUGCCAUGUCCGCGGCCAGGAUCCGAACCCUAGGCCACGGCAGCGGAGCGCGCGAACUUCACUCGGCCCCAGAACCGGCCCCUCCAAAAGCUUUGUUUCUUCAUGUAGCCCCUGGAGAACUACACUGCACUUGCAAGAAAGAAUGAGAACAAAAACGCGAAUAAUGUCUUAGUACUACAAAAAUAAUUUUAACCUUGCAGAACCCCUAAAAGACUCUUGAAAACCCCCACAGAAGGUCCUUGGACCACACUUUGAGAAAGUUUUUUCUCCAAGAAAUUCCGUAGAACAUUAAUUCUUCAAAAAGUUAACAGAUGUUGAACCAAGGGGAAAAAAAAAGAAGGUAUAUCCAAGUGACUUUGGGAAAACAAGUUUCUAUACUACAGGACUUCCGAGACUGCAUGUUCUGGAGCAGAAGGAAAAAUACUACGGGUUCAGGAAUACAGAGGAGCUGCUGCGCAAGAUGGCCACUGGAUGGCGCUGCUGUCCCACUCGCAGAUGACCUAAGCGUCUGAAUCGGGAAAUGGCUUCUAGCUCUUGGAAGCUCAAAGUCCCUGGAAAGCUGGAAGACUCACACAGUACUUUCUUAUUUUAAUUUUUUUUUUUAAAUAAAGCAGUGAUUAAAAGUUGCCACAAAGGCCAGUGUAAACUCUUUUCUCCUCAGAACAAAGGAUGUUUUCACUUUACCCCGAACUGGGGGCUUUCAGCUUAUCAAAAUCAACAGAAACGUUUUGGAAGCAGCUUCCAAGUUCAUCACUCUGGAUUGAGGUUCUGAGGGGUCCAGAAUGUGGAGGUGAGAGUCUCUGACCUCAAGAGCUCCCCUAGAAUGUGAGAGAAACCAGAAUGUUCUCAGCCAAUAUCCUCAGGUCUGGUUAAUGUGAUUGUUUUACAAUAGCGCAGAGUUAAUGGGACCAGCUGGGUAUGUCUGCACUGAGGAAGGAUGGGGACAUGUUGCAAAAGCUGUCCUGAAGGGCCAGCAGCUCCAU